RNAcentral lists this long non-coding RNA (331 nucleotides) under Citrus maxima (pomelo). RNAcentral's name for it is "long non-coding RNA (CMAX_LNC002466)". The record is from RNAcentral. Lineage: Eukaryota; Viridiplantae; Streptophyta; Magnoliopsida; Sapindales; Rutaceae.
GGUGGCUGAGUUGAAGAGGGUUUUGGGCGAAAAAGGAGUGAAAUUGGAGGAACUAGAGAGGGAAGUUGAUGGGUUGAAGAAAGAGAAAGUUGAGAGUGAGAAGAAAGUUAGGGAAUUGGAGAGGAAUGUUGGCUUGUUGGAAGUGAGGGAGAUGGAGGAGAAGAGUAAAAGGGUGAGGGUUGAGGAGGAAAUGAGGGAGAAACUUGAUGAGAAAGAUAGGGAAAUUUCUGGGUUUAAGAAGAAAGUUGAUGAUUUGGAGUCUGAAUUGGGUAACUGUAAGUCUGAGAAGAACUCUGCGGAGAAAACGGUGAAGGAGAUGGACGAAAGGAUU